GCCGGGCGUGGUGGUGCCUGUGGUCCCAGGUACUCUGGAGGCUGAGGUGGGAGGAUUGCUUGAGCCCAGGAGUUCUGGGCUGUAGUGAGCUAUGCCGAUCGGGUGUCCGCACUAAGUUUGGUAUCAAUAUGGUAACUUCCUGGGAGCGGGGGACCACCAGGUUGCUUAAGGAGGGGUGAACCAGCCCAUGUCAGAAACGGAGCAGGUCAAAACUCCCGUGCUGAUCAGUAGUGGGAUCAUGCCUGUGAACAGUCACUGCACUCCAGCCUGGGCAACAUAGCAAGAUCCCAUCUCUU
Unclassified non-coding RNA from Callithrix jacchus (white-tufted-ear marmoset), 296 nucleotides. It matches the Rfam family "Metazoan signal recognition particle RNA". From Rfam's summary of the family: The signal recognition particle (SRP) is a universally conserved ribonucleoprotein. It is involved in the co-translational targeting of proteins to membranes. The eukaryotic SRP consists of a 300-nucleotide 7S RNA and six proteins: SRPs 72, 68, 54, 19, 14, and 9. NCBI's taxonomy places the organism in Eukaryota, Metazoa, Chordata, Mammalia, Primates, Cebidae. The record is from Ensembl.